This 433-nucleotide ribosomal RNA is filed under the name uncultured bacterium. Its description in RNAcentral is "partial 16S ribosomal RNA". It matches the Rfam family "Bacterial small subunit ribosomal RNA", at positions 29 to 507 of the family's 1533-position model. The record is from RNAcentral.
AACGAACGCUGGCGGCAUGCCUAACACAUGCAAGUCGAACGAGACCUUCGGGUCUAGUGGCGCACGGGUGCGUAACGCGUGGGAACCUGCCCUUAGGUUCGGAAUAACUCCCCGAAAGGGGUGCUAAUACCGGAUAAUGUCUUCGGACCAAAGAUUUAUCGCCUUUGGAUGGGCCCGCGUUGGAUUAGCUAGUUGGUAGGGUAAAAGCCUACCAAGGCGACGAUCCAUAGCUGGUCUGAGAGGAUGAUCAGCCACACUGGGACUGAGACACGGCCCAGACUCCUACGGGAGGGAGCAGGGGGGAAUAUUGGACCAUGGGGGAAAGGCUGAUCCAGCAAUGCCGCGGGAGUGAUGAAGGCCUUAGGGUUGUAAAGCUCUUUUAACCGGGAUGAUAAUGACAGUACCGGGAGAAUAAGCUCCGGCUAACUCCGUG